UCAGACUCCAUUGUCAGCCAAUAGUAGCCUGCUCUCAACAUCUUUCUAGCCAUGGCAUGUCCAUUGGAAUGAGUAUCAAAUGAACCCUCAUGGACCUCAGUCAUCAACAGGUUUGCUUCGUGUCUAUCCACGCAUCUGAGCAAAACCAUGUCAAAAUUCCUCUUAUAUUGCACUUCACCACUGAGGUAGAAACUGCCUGACAACCUUCUCAAAG
Molecule: long non-coding RNA, 214 nt
Filed under: Lathyrus oleraceus (garden pea)
Lineage: Eukaryota; Viridiplantae; Streptophyta; Magnoliopsida; Fabales; Fabaceae
Description: Pisum sativum (pea) long non-coding RNA (PSAT_LNC004573)
Source: RNAcentral